Molecule: transfer RNA, 70 nt
Filed under: Ophiocreas oedipus
Lineage: Eukaryota; Metazoa; Echinodermata; Ophiuroidea; Euryalida; Asteroschematidae
Also listed under: 1 other name
Description: tRNA-Val
Rfam family: tRNA
About the family: Transfer RNA (tRNA) molecules are approximately 80 nucleotides in length. Their secondary structure includes four short double-helical elements and three loops (D, anti-codon, and T loops).
Source: RNAcentral
AGGAAAGUAGCUAAAGGGGAAGUUUUAUGUUUACGACAUGAGGAUAUCUGUUCGAUUCAGGUCUUUUUUA